Molecule: long non-coding RNA, 5795 nt
Filed under: Phaseolus vulgaris (common bean)
Lineage: Eukaryota; Viridiplantae; Streptophyta; Magnoliopsida; Fabales; Fabaceae
Description: long non-coding RNA (PVUL_LNC002754)
Source: RNAcentral
UCAGCAUCUCAUGCUCCCAACACCAAACCACACCCAUUUAUCCUUCCCAUUAAGAAAGACCCUGCAACCAAUCUGUUCUACACUUCAGUUGGUGUAGGAACUCCUAGGCACAACUUUGAUCUAACCAUUGAUCUUGCUGGAGAAAACCUAUGGUACGACUGUAACACUCAUUACAACUCUUCUUCCUACCGUCCUAUCGCUUGUGGCUCAAAGCAAUGCCCCGACGUUGGAUGUGUUGGCUGCAACGGCCCCUUCAAACCAGGUUGCACAAACAACACAUGUCCUGCUAACACAGUCAAUCCAUUAGCAAAAUUCCUUUUCGGUGGUGGCUUAGCUAAGGAUUUCAUAUUCAUUGUUCAACAGAAAGUGUCUGGCUUGCUUUCUAGCUGUAUUGACACCGAUCGAUUCCCAUCCUUCACCGAUAACGAGACACCUCUAGAUGGCUUACCCAAAAACAGCAGAGGAAUUGCAGGCUUCUCAAAGUCGCAGCAUGCAUUACCAAUUCAGCUUGCAUCCACUAAUAAGCUUCCUUCCAAGUUUUCUCUCUGUUUACCCUCUUUAAACCACCAAGGUUUCACCAACUUGCUUGUUGGAACUGGGAAACAUCCUCUGGGAAUAUCCAAAUUUCUCCAAACCACCCCUCUCAUUGUCAACCCCAUUUCCACAGGUCCGAGAUCUGUGGAAGGUGUUGCUUCCAACGAAUACUUCAUUGACGUGAAAGCAGUUAAGAUUGAUGGGCAUGUUGUGAACCUAAAGCCUUCCCUUUUGUCUAUUGACAAGAACGGAAAUGGGGGCACCAAGAUUAGUACCAUGAGUCCUUUCACUGAAUUACAAACCUCUGUCUACAAGCCUUUCCUUCGCGAUUUCCUCAAGAAAGCCUCCGAAAGAAGAUUAAAGAAAGUGGCAGCAGUGGCACCAUUUGAGGCAUGCUUCGAUUCAACAAAAAUUGGUAAUUCCGCAACAGGACUAGUUGUGCCAACUAUUGAUCUAGUGCUGCAAGGGGGAGCAAAGUGGAGUAUUCAUGGAGCCAAUUCCAUGGUUAUGGCAAAGGAAAAUGUUGCAUGUCUGGCAUUUGUUGAUGGAGGGACAGAGCCUGUAAUGUCUUUUGUGAAAGCUUCAAUUGUGAUCGGAGGAUAUCAGUUGCAGGACAACCAUUUGGUGUUUGACGUGGCUUCCUCUAAAUUAAGCUUCAGUUCUUCGCUGUUGCUCCACAAUGCCACGUGUUCUCACUCUUGAAUGAGAUGUGUGUUUUUGACGCGUUGAAGUUAGCCACGUUGAAGAACAUGUAGCUAGUAGCUUCUAUCUUUCAAUGCUUUGAGGAUAAUUGAAGAAUAAAUGUUUGCUUUGUUGUAAAUGGAAACACACCUUAGCGUUUUCAUGUGUGCCAUUUAGAGGGGUAGAAUUUUUUCUAAGAUUGAUAGAGAACUUCUGUAAGCUGUGCUCAGCAUCUGCUACAAUUGCUAGCAGGAAAAUGUAGAACUUUCUAAAUUAUGUAUUGUAUCUCUUUAUCUCUCUCUCUUUCUAAAUUAUUUAUUGUAUCUCUUUAUCCCUCUCUCUUUCUAAAUUAUUUAUUGUAUCUCUUUAUCUCUCUCUUCUAAAUUAUGUAUUGUCUCUCUAUAUAUAACUUUUUUCACUCUAUACAUCUACAUCACCCAUCUAUAUAUAUGGAUUUCUCCCUUUAUUUUUAUUUUAUUAUUUUAAAAAUGUAUAAAAGGAGACAUUUGUGAGUAGUUAAAACUUUAUAUUUCAAAAGGAUAAGAAGAGAUAACACUAUUUUUAAUUAAAAAAAUUUAAAUUCAAAAUUAAACAUUGCAAAAUAAAAUUUGUUGAGAUGGUAAAAUUGCAUAUUUUUCUCUCUUUCAUUUUUACUUUUAACCACGAAACCAAGUAAGUGUUGUAUACUUUUAACCACGAAACUAAGUAAGUGUUGUAUGUUGUUUUUUAAUUAUAUAGUAGAAUAUGAAAAUAUAAUGUGUGAAUUUUAUUUUUUUUAUUUGUUUUUAGAAAAUGUCAAAGUUAAGCUUGCGUACCAGAAAACGGGUAAAAGUAAAGAAUUGUAAAGGACUUUCAACAUUUUAAUGUUACAAUGUUAGGUUAAUCAUGAAAACAGGGAUUCAAAGUUUACCAUAAAGGAGCUUCACUUUUCUCUCAUACACAGUCACCACUCCUGAUAAAAAUGCAACAACCAGUAAGCAGAGGCGCGGAGAUACGCUACAUUUCUACCUAUUAACUGAAAUAGAAAUUGAAACAGAAGAUAAAAUUGUGGAGCACCCAUGAGAAUUCCAGAAAGUCUAAGAGCCAUAGGAACCGAUGGGUUCAGGAUCUCUUUGCUUCACAUAAACAAAGAAAUAGAAUCAGUGAUGUAACAGAAAACAGAGAACAGUUGGGAUCAGAGUUAUAACUUAUAAUAAAUACAGAGCAGAAACGGACAUAUUUGACCAAGAGGAGCCUUCCAGGCAAGAAGCUGGUGUGAGUAAACAUCUUCAAUACAAGAGAAAUUAAACUAUCUGUAUAUACAAUUCACCAAAGUAGCAAAACCUCUUAUUAUCUUAAAUUAGAAAAGGCAAAGAUAGAAGAAUUUGAAAGCAAACCUUGCAAAAAAAACUCCCUCCUCCGCUUCGCAUUGCAACACUCUCUACCCGCAGAUGUAAUGUCUUAUAAUGUAAUGCAGCAAGUAACAACAAACACGCCUAUUGCUAACAACGAAUGUGGCAAACAAAGAGCUACCCUCAGUGCACCGAAUUUUCCCGUGCUACAAGCAUGACUAUAACAGGAGUAGCAGUGAUGUUUACUCACUCCCGACUGUUAGAGUGGGCUCCACAUGUCAACGAUUUUUCUCGUUUUUUGUUCAUCGAAGAUGAAUUCGUUAGAAAAAGGUAAAAACCCAUAAAAAAUGGACACGCGCAUCACAUUGUCACGUGACUCUCAUUUUCAUUGUUCCAUCUAUACUUCACUCACCAACUACCAAGCCCAAUCCCAAUCUCGCAGAGAGAGAGCUUUGGUAGAUGGAGGAGGCACUGGUGGAAGUGUGCGAGCCCGCAGAGGUGCGAAUAGAGUUCGCACUCAACUGCAAAUGCCGAGCCACGUGCGGCUUCGCUCUCUAAACCCAAUCUCACCAGUGGCUUUCAAGAUCCAAACCUCAUCGCCAAAAAAGUUUCUGUCAACCCACCCUGUGGACUCAUUCUCCCUUUAUCCUUCGCCACCUUCAAAGUCAUCCUUAAGCCGCAGUCUCAUCUCCCUCGCUCCUUCCCUCGCUCCCCCUCCAACCGCUUCCUCGUGAAAACCGCCGAGUUCGCCGCCAACUCGUCCGGGUCCACUCACCCCGACUCCAUCAACUCGUGGUUCGCCUCUCGCCCCUACGGAUUCAAAACUCGGGACAUCAAACUGAAGGUGGCCUUCGUGGGACCCUUCCUCCUUAACGAUGCCGUCACGCGCGGAGAAUUGGACGCGGUUAGAAACCUAAUCAAACGACAGCGUUCCAUGCUCGCGGAUUUGUCACCCGCCGAAGCCGAGUAGCUCCUCGGCGCCGCCACAAAGCUGCAGGAGCCGGACGACAUGGUCCACCUCCUCCUGGAAGCCGGCUUGAGAAUAGUCCCCAGCCCCAACGCCUCUGAUGAAGUACACGUGGCGGAAGAUACGAACACAACUGUAAGUGAAAGCGAACAACCCAACCUAAUUGGCCCAUCACUUAUAAUGCUCUGUUUUCAUAUUUUUGUUGUGCUCAGAGAGAAGUGGUGGAGGUGGGAGAAGCAAUAUUUGAAGGUUCGAGGAAUGGAGAGGCGAAUGAAGUGAAGGCACUGUUGCGAAGAGGUGGUGGGAGUGUGAAGUAUCGUGAUCAAUAUGGUUUGACGGCGCUUCAUGCAGCGGCUUUUAAAGGGCACAAGGAUGUGAUGAAGGUGCUUAUUGAAUUAGCGGGUUUGGACUUGGAAUUUGAAGACGAGGAAGGUCACGUGCCCUUGCAUAUGGCGGUGGAGAGUGGCGAUGUGGAGACGGUACAAGUGUUGGUUGAGGAAGGUGUGAAUCUUAAUGUUGUGAAUAAAAGAGGGUGCUACCCCUUUACUAUCCUAAACAAAGAGAAUGCACAUGCCCAGAGUCAUCUUUAUAAAGUUUUGUAAUAGCUUAAUUAUUUAUGUUAAAACUCAAACCUAUUUGAAGAUAAUUUUGCAUAAGAGCACCCGGUAUUUCAAAACAGUGAAUUUCUCACGUACCAAUUUGUCUUAUUUUGACUUUGACUUUGACAUUAAGAUUUACAAGUACUACGGAAUGCAAAUCUUAAUUAGGAUAUUUCUACCUAGAAUCCCUUUUCCUUUAAAAACUCUCACUUUAUCUAAAAUUAAAGUUACAUUUGUCUCAUAAUAAUUUAUAUUACCCAAAUAAUCUAUUUUCUUUUAUGAAUGUAAUUGAGCUCUAUCAUUUUUAAAAGAAUAAAUAUGCAUUUGAAUUUCAGUUUAAAAAUUAAACUAAAUUUGAAUUAGAAAUAUAUAUUAUAAUUUUUUUAGUUAAUUUAAAUUUAAGAUGAAUUUUAGUUAAUUAAAAAAAAAAAUAAUGUCAAACAUAUUCAGAUAAUCUUUGAGUAUUACAAACUAAAUCAAAUGCAGCGUCCCAUUGUUUAAGAACCAAAGCAUGUAUCUUUUCCCUUUCUGAGACAGCACCUAUGCCAGAUGUAUCUGCAUUAGCCAUCUGUUACUGACGAAAAAGUAAAAACCAGCACCAUGAAUAACAUAUAGAAAAAUAUUCUUUCAUAUUAUAUAAAACAAAACACUCUCACUUUACAACCUAUUUGAAUAAUACAAUAAUAUAUAUCAAUAAUUUAUAUUAAAAUUAAAAUAUAAAAGAAAAAUAAUUAAAAUAAUAAUAUAAUGAUAUAAUAGAGAGUCAUCAUUGAUGAGUAUAUUACAUCGUUAAAGUCAUUCAACCGGUGUAAUAUAUGCGUAUUACACCAGUUAAGUCAUCUAAUCGGUGUAAUAUAUGACCCAAUAACGCUGAAUACUUGAACAAUAAACAAAGAAGCAACGACAACCGCACAAUAAAAACGUUUAUGGUUUGUGUUUCGCUUGUUUACUGAUUGUUUUGUGCUUUCCCCUCCUUCUUUGUCCCUCCAUUUGAUGAGGCCGUUGCUUCUUUCUCUCUUUUGUUCGACCUUUCCUUUCAUUUAAAACUCUUUCGCUUCCGUACUCAAACAUUAAACUCUUGCACUCUUACAAAAAUGACACAUAACAUAACUCCCAUCAGAAUUUAAAAAAAACCUUCCACAUCUUCACCCAAAAUCACAUCUACGACAUCUAAGUAUGUAUGUGUUAGUGGACAAAGAUGUGUUAACAAAACAUUUUCCAAUAAUAUAUUGAUAUCCCCUCCAUCAUUCUUCCUAUAAAAAGAGAACUCAGCAUUCUGUAUUACACACACCAACACCAUUCAUUAUCAUUCUCUUAGCAAUGUCUUCCUCUUUUGCCAUCCAUUUCUUCCUAAUCUCAUUACCCCUUUUCUCAGUUUGUUGCUUAUCAGCAUCUCAUGCUCCCAACACCAAGCCUCACCCCUUUAUCCUUCCCAUUAAGAAAGAUCCUGCAACCAAUCUGUUCUACACUUCAGUUGGUGUAGGAACUCCUAGGCACAACUUUGAUCUAACCAUUGAUCUUGCUGGAGAAAACCUAUGGUAUGACUGUAACACUCAUUACAACUCUUCUUCCUACCGUCCUAUCGCUUGUGGCUCAAAGCAAUGCCCCGAUGUUGGAUGUGUUGGCUGCAGUGGCCCCUUCAAACCAGGUUGCACAAACAACACAUGUCCUUCUAAUACAAUC